This 1372-nucleotide ribosomal RNA is filed under the name uncultured bacterium. RNAcentral's name for it is "bacterial SSU rRNA". It matches the Rfam family "Bacterial small subunit ribosomal RNA", at positions 28 to 1381 of the family's 1533-position model. The record is from RNAcentral.
GAUGAACGCUGGCGGCGUGCCUAAUACAUGCAAGUCGAGCGAACGGACGAGAAGCUUGCUUCUCUGAUGUUAGCGGCGGACGGGUGAGUAACACGUGGAUAACCUACCUAUAGGACUGGGAUAACUUCGGGAAACCGGAGCUAAUACCGGAUAAUAUUUUGAACCGCAUGGUUCAAAAGUGAAAGACGGUCUUGCUGUCACUUAUAGAUGGAUCCGCGCUGCAUUAGCUAGUUGGUAAGGUAACGGCUUACCAAGGCAACGAUGCAUAGCCGACCUGAGAGGGUGAUCGGCCACACUGGAACUGAGACACGGUCCAGACUCCUACGGGAGGCAGCAGUAGGGAAUCUUCCGCAAUGGGCGAAAGCCUGACGGAGCAACGCCGCGUGAGUGAUGAAGGUCUUCGGAUCGUAAAACUCUGUUAUUAGGGAAGAACAUAUGUGUAAGUAACUGUGCACAUCUUGACGGUACCUAAUCAGAAAGCCACGGCUAACUACGUGCCAGCAGCCGCGGUAAUACGUAGGUGGCAAGCGUUAUCCGGAAUUAUUGGGCGUAAAGCGCGCGUAGGCGGUUUUUUAAGUCUGAUGUGAAAGCCCACGGCUCAACCGUGGAGGGUCAUUGGAAACUGGAAAACUUGAGUGCAGAAGAGGAAAGUGGAAUUCCAUGUGUAGCGGUGAAAUGCGCAGAGAUAUGGAGGAACACCAGUGGCGAGGGCGACUUUCUGGUCUGUAACUGACGCUGAUGUGCGAAAGCGUGGGGAUCAAACAGGAUUAGAUACCCUGGUAGUCCACGCCGUAAACGAUGAGUGCUAAGUGUUAGGGGGUUUCCGCCCCUUAGUGCUGCAGCUAACGCAUUAAGCACUCCGCCUGGGGAGUACGACCGCAAGGUUGAAACUCAAAGGAAUUGACGGGGACCCGCACAAGCGGUGGAGCAUGUGGUUUAAUUCGAAGCAACGCGAAGAACCUUACCAAAUCUUGACAUCCCUUGACAACUCUAGAGAUAGAGCCUUCCCCUUCGGGGGACAAAGUGACAGGUGGUGCAUGGUUGUCGUCAGCUCGUGUCGUGAGAUGUUGGGUUAAGUCCCGCAACGAGCGCAACCCUUAAGCUUAGUUGCCAUCAUUAAGUUGGGCACUCUAAGUUGACUGCCGGUGACAAGCCGGAGGAAGGUGGGGAUGACGUCAAAUCAUCAUGCCCCUUAUGAUUUGGGCUACACACGUGCUACAAUGGACAAUACAAAGGGCAGCGAAACCGCGAGGUCAAGCAAAUCCCAUAAAGUUGUUCUCAGUUCGGAUUGUAGUCUGCAACUCGACUACAUGAAGCUGGAAUCGCUAGUAAUCGUAGAUCAGCAUGCUACGGUGAAUACGUUCCCGGGUCU